This 334-nucleotide ribosomal RNA is filed under the name uncultured soil bacterium. Its description in RNAcentral is "bacterial SSU rRNA". It matches the Rfam family "Bacterial small subunit ribosomal RNA", at positions 26 to 387 of the family's 1533-position model. The record is from RNAcentral.
AGAACGAACGCUGGCGGCAUGCCUAAUACAUGCAAGUCGAACGAACUCUUCGGAGUUAGUGGCGCACGGGUGCGUAACGCGUGGGAAUCUGCCCUUGGGUUCGGAAUAACAGUUGGAAACGACUGCGUAAUACCGGAUGAUGACGAAAGUCCAAAGAUUUAUCGCCCAGGGAUGAGCCCGCGUAGGAUUAGCUAGUUGGUGAGGUAAAGGCUCACCAAGGCGACGAUCCUUAGCUGGUCUGAGAGGAUGGAUCAGCCACACUGGGGACUGAGACACGGCCCAGACUCCUACGGGAGGCAGCAGUGGGGAAUUUGGACAUGGGCGAAAGCCUGAU